GAUGAACGCUGGCGGCGUGCCUAAUACAUGCAAGUCGAGCGAACAGAUGAGGAGCUUGCUCCUCUGACGUUAGCGGCGGACGGGUGAGUAACACGUGGAUAACCUACCUAUAAGACUGGGAUAACUUCGGGAAACCGGAGCUAAUACCGGAUAAUAUAUUGAACCGCAUGGUUCAAUAGUGAAAGACGGUUUUGCUGUCACUUAUAGAUGGAUCCGCGCCGCAUUAGCUAGUUGGUAAGGUAACGGCUUACCAAGGCAACGAUGCGUAGCCGACCUGAGAGGGUGAUCGGGCACACUGGAACUGAGACACGGUCCAGACUCCUACGGGAGGCAGCAGUAGGGAAUCUUCCGCAAUGGGCGAAAGCCUGACGGAGCAACGCCGCGUGAGUGAUGAAGGUCUUCGGAUCGUAAAACUCUGUUAUUAGGGAAGAACAAAUGUGUAAGUAACUAUGCACGGCUUGACGGUACCUAAUCAGAAAGCCACGGCUAACUACGUG
This 497-nucleotide ribosomal RNA is filed under the name uncultured bacterium. RNAcentral describes it as "partial 16S ribosomal RNA". It matches the Rfam family "Bacterial small subunit ribosomal RNA", at positions 28 to 507 of the family's 1533-position model. The record is from RNAcentral.